RNAcentral lists this ribosomal RNA (507 nucleotides) under uncultured bacterium. RNAcentral's name for it is "partial 16S ribosomal RNA". It matches the Rfam family "Bacterial small subunit ribosomal RNA", at positions 28 to 507 of the family's 1533-position model. The record is from RNAcentral.
GACGAACGCUGGCGGCGUGCCUAAUACAUGCAAGUCGAACGCAUUUUCUUUCACCGUAGCUUGCUACACCGAAAGAAAAUGAGUGGCGAACGGGUGGGUAACACGUGGGCAACCUGCCCAUCAGCGGGGGAUAACACUUGGAAACAGGUGCUAAUACCGCAUAAUUCCAUUUACCGCAUGGUAGAGGGAUGAAAGGCGCUUUUGCGUCACUGAUGGAUGGACCCGCGGUGCAUUAGCUAGUUGGUGGGGUAACGGCCUACCAAGGCUGCGAUGCAUAGCCGACCUGAGAGGGUGAUCGGCCACACUGGGACUGAGACACGGCCCAGACUCCUACGGGAGGCAGCAGUAGGGAAUCUUCGGCAAUGGACGCAAGUCUGACCGAGCAACGCCGCGUGAGUGAAGAAGGGUUUCGGAUCGUAAAACUCUGUUGUUAGAGAAGAACAAGGAUGAGAGUGGAAAGUUCAUCCCUUGACGGUAGCUAACCAGAAAGCCACGGCUAACUACGUG